UCGGGCAGAGUGACCUGGACAAGCUUAGU
RNAcentral lists this non-coding RNA (29 nucleotides) under Homo sapiens (human). Lineage: Eukaryota; Metazoa; Chordata; Mammalia; Primates; Hominidae. The record is from RNAcentral.